This 416-nucleotide long non-coding RNA is filed under the name Solanum tuberosum (potato). Its description in RNAcentral is "long non-coding RNA (STUB_LNC001620)". The record is from RNAcentral. Lineage: Eukaryota; Viridiplantae; Streptophyta; Magnoliopsida; Solanales; Solanaceae.
AGUCUUCAAUCACAAGUUUCAUCCGGCAUUGGAGGAUCUCGAUCCCUGAAAAAAUAUUAUAAUGUCACAAACAACUUUUUGAAGUAGGUCUUUCUAACAAACAUUUGAUAAUGUUCUUUACACUAAUAUAAGAAACAAGUAUAUAGCUUUCCAUAAUUUUAUGAGAUGUAAGAUUGAUUAUGGUUGGAACAUAGAAAAAAGAACUUGCGGUACUCAAUAGCCCUCACCUUAUGUAUGACAUAGUAAGAAAAUCACAUAACUGCAUUUUGCUUGCUCAAACAAAAUACACAACCUAUUCUUUCCCGUUUCAUUUCAAUAAAAUUCUGAAAGUACGUACAUAGAAAGAUGUCUUAUUUUCUCAAACGCGAUCCCUGCUUCGACUUGAAUGACCAUGUAAUCGUGCCACAAAGAUGCAG